UACGGGAGGCAGCAGUGGGGAAUAUUGCACAAUGGGCGAAAGCCUGAUGCAGCUAUGCCGCGUGUAUGAAGAAGGCCUUAGGGUUGUAAAGUACUUUCAUCGGGGAGGAAAAAACAAACUAAUAAUUUUAUUUCUUGACGUUCCCGAAAAAGAAGCACCGGCUAACUCCGUGCCAGCAGCCGCGGUAAUACGGAGGGUGCUAGCGUUAAUCAGAAUUACUGGGCGUAAAGAGCACGUAGGUGGUUUUUUUAAGUCAGAUGUGAAAUCCCUGGGCUUAACCUAGGAACUGCAUUUUGAAACUGAAAUACUAGAGUAUCGUAGAGGGAGGUAGAAUUCUAGGUGUAGCGGUGAAAUGCGUAGAUAUCUGGAGGAAUACCUGUGGCGAAAGCGGCCUCCUAAACGAAUACUGACACUGAGGUGCGAAAGCGUGGGGAGCAAACAGGGAUUAGAUACC
This 454-nucleotide ribosomal RNA is filed under the name uncultured bacterium. RNAcentral's name for it is "bacterial SSU rRNA". It matches the Rfam family "Bacterial small subunit ribosomal RNA", at positions 340 to 786 of the family's 1533-position model. The record is from RNAcentral.